This 261-nucleotide ribosomal RNA is filed under the name uncultured bacterium. RNAcentral describes it as "partial 16S ribosomal RNA". It matches the Rfam family "Bacterial small subunit ribosomal RNA", at positions 793 to 1055 of the family's 1533-position model. The record is from RNAcentral.
GUCCACGCUGUAAACGAUGAAUACUCGAUGCACGGCCUUCAGUGGGUGUGUGUCCAAGCGAAAGCAGUAAGUAUUCCACCUGGGAAGUACGCCCGCAAGGGUGAAACUCAAAGGAAUUGACGGGGGCCCGCACAAGAGGUGGAGCAUGUGGUUUAAUUAGAUGGUACGCGAGGAACCUUACCCAGGCUCGAAUCACUUUGGAAGGAUGCAGAAAUGUGUCCGUCAGCAAUGACCGGAGGGAAGGUGCUGCAUGGCUGUCGU